AUUUGGUACUGAUGUUCAUUUGGAAAAAGUAAGACUAGAUUUUCUAAUAAAUUAUCAACUGUUUUUAAAACAAGUGGCAAAAAAUUUGGUGGUUGGUAUUCGAGCUUUUAAGUUCGAAAUCUAAUUAUUUUAUAUUUUUAGCUAAAUUCAUGUCUAAAAAAAAUAAGCGAAGCGGGUAGUAUGCUAUUUUUUUCUUAAAAAAAAAUUUAAUAAGUUUUAUAAAAAAUAGAUUACUAAAUUUAACAUUUUUAAAA
RNAcentral lists this long non-coding RNA (254 nucleotides) under Ananas comosus (pineapple). RNAcentral's name for it is "long non-coding RNA (ACOM_LNC019786)". The record is from RNAcentral. Lineage: Eukaryota; Viridiplantae; Streptophyta; Magnoliopsida; Poales; Bromeliaceae.